AUGCCUUAGUACGGCGAGUGAAGCGGCAAAAGCUCAAAUUUGAAAUCUGGCGUCUUCGACGUCCGAGUUGUAAUUUGAAGAAGGCAACUUUGUAGCUGGUCCUUGUCUAUGUUCCUUGGAACAGGACGUCAUAGAGGGUGAGAAUCCCGUGUGGCGAGGAUCCCAGUUAUUUGUAAAGUGCUUUCGACGAGUCGAGUUGUUUGGGAAUGCAGCUCUAAGUGGGUGGUAAAUUCCAUCUAAAGCUAAAUAUUGGCGAGAGACCGAUAGCGAACAAGUACAGUGAUGGAAAGAUGAAAAGAACUUUGAAAAGAGAGUGAAAAAGUACGUGAAAUUGUUGAAAGGGAAGGGCAUUUGAUCAGACAUGGCGUUUGCUUCGGCUUUCGCUGGGCCAGCAUCAGUUUUAGCGGUUGGAUAAAUCCUCGGGAAUGUGGCUCUGCUUCGGUAGAGUGUUAUAGCCCGUGGGAAUACAGCCAGCUGGGACUGAGGAUUGCGACUUUUGUCAAGGAUGCUGGCGUAAUGGUUAAAUGCCGCACGUCUUG
This 539-nucleotide ribosomal RNA is filed under the name Kluyveromyces marxianus. RNAcentral describes it as "partial large subunit ribosomal RNA". It matches the Rfam family "Eukaryotic large subunit ribosomal RNA", at positions 73 to 656 of the family's 3401-position model. The record is from RNAcentral. Lineage: Eukaryota; Fungi; Ascomycota; Saccharomycetes; Saccharomycetales; Saccharomycetaceae.